GACGAACGCUGGCGGCGUGCUUAACACAUGCAAGUCGAACGGAAAGGCCCUGCGGUUGACUCGUGCUCGAAAGGGGAAAGUAUGAGUAACACGAGAGUAACCUCCCCUUGACAUAAGGAUAACAUCAUGGAACUAGGGCUAAAAACGGCUAGGAGCUCCUGCUGCAUGGGGGGGAAUGGAUAGUGUCGGCGGUUGGGGAUGGACUCGAGGCUUAUCAGCUUGUUGGUGUGGUAGUUGAUUACCAAGGCAUUGACGGGUAGGCGGCCUGAGAGGGUGAACAGCCACAAUGGGACUGAGAUACGGCCCAGACUCCUACGGGAGGCAGCAGUGGGGAAUAUUGCACAAUGGGCGGAAGCCUGAUGCAGCGACGCCGCGUGCGGGAUGACGGCCUUCGGGUUGUAAACCGCUUUCGCCGGUGACGAAGCGUGAGUGACGGUACCUGGUAAAGAAGCACCGGCUAACUACGUG
Molecule: ribosomal RNA, 468 nt
Filed under: uncultured bacterium
Lineage: Bacteria
Description: partial 16S ribosomal RNA
Rfam family: Bacterial small subunit ribosomal RNA
Source: RNAcentral